RNAcentral lists this transfer RNA (69 nucleotides) under Hypsugo alaschanicus (Alashanian pipistrelle). Its description in RNAcentral is "tRNA-Thr". It matches the Rfam family "tRNA". Rfam says of the family: Transfer RNA (tRNA) molecules are approximately 80 nucleotides in length. Their secondary structure includes four short double-helical elements and three loops (D, anti-codon, and T loops). The record is from RNAcentral. Lineage: Eukaryota; Metazoa; Chordata; Mammalia; Chiroptera; Vespertilionidae.
GUCUAUGUAGUAUAAUAAUUACACUGGUCUUGUAAACCAGAAAAGAGGAACAAACUUCCUCCAAAGACU